Molecule: long non-coding RNA, 2165 nt
Organism: Rattus norvegicus (Norway rat)
Lineage: Eukaryota; Metazoa; Chordata; Mammalia; Rodentia; Muridae
Source: RefSeq, a predicted model, not a curated record
AGCCUCAAUUCUGGUGGCCUGGAUUGGCUGGGAGUGGCAGGUGAGCGGCUCAGGCCGGCCGCGAGCGCCAAUCAGGACUGGCGCCGGCUGCAGGAACUAGCUCAGUGAGUCUGCAGGGUCCUGGUCGGACACUCGGCCCGGGAUUUGGCCACUGCACUUCCCCACCUCCACUCGGGCUCCUAACGCUCCCCCAGUUCCUUGUGGUCCGUCCUGCCUAUAUCAAAGCGCUGGCCAGGUGCGCUCCGUGCUAGGCUGGAGUCACUCCGCUGCCACCUGCUCGCCUCUGGGUGUGGUGGUAGGGAACAGCGCUUGCGGUUCCAACUCAAGCUUUAUAUGGCUCGGCUAGCCGCUGGAUCGUGUUUUUCUCACCUGUAAAGCGGAGACUUUACUACCUCUUGGUUGGUAGGCCGGUGGCCAGCUAAGACUUCGAAACAGCUGUAUCUUCUUGUGCAGUGCCAGCCUCAUCUCUGAGACAUGAUUGGAGUGAAUAGAUUUGGCCAUAUUGGGUGCCUGGUUACCAGGAGUGCCUUCACCUUUGACAACAUGGAGAUUGUUGCCAUCAAUGACUCCUUCAUGAACCUCAACUACAUGGUCUACAUGCCCAGUAAGACUCCACCCACCGGGCUGCAGAGAUGGUUCAGUAGUUAAAAGCACUGAUUGCUCUUUCCGAGGUCCUGAGUUCAAAUCCCAGCAUCCACAUGAUGGCUCACAACCAUUUGUAAUGGGAUCUGAUGCCCUCUUCUGGUGUGCAUGAAAACAGCAACAGUGUACCCACAUACAUGAAAUAAAUAAAUAAAUAAAUAAAUCUUUAAGACUCCAUCCAUAGAAAAUUCCACAGUACAAUAAAGGCUGAGAACAGGAAACUUGUCAUCAACAAGACAAUCUCCAUCCUCUGAGAGAGAAAUUUCCACCCCCAUCAAACGUUGAUGAAGAGUAUGUUGUGGAGUCUACUUAUAUCUUUACCACCAUGAGGAAGACUGAGGUCCACUUGAAGGGUGGAACCAAAAGUGUCACCAUCUCUGCCCCUUCUGCUAAUGCUCCCAUGUUUGUGUUGGGUUAUGUUGGGUGGGAGCCAUGAGAAGUAUGACAACUCACUUAAGACUGUCAGUAGCUUCCUGCACCACUGAUGGCUUAUGUCCCUGGCCAGUGCCAUCCAUGACAAUUUUGGCAUUGUAGAGGGAUUCAUGACCACAGUCCAUGACAUCACUGCUACCAGAAGACUUGUCAGUGGAAAGCUAUGACAUGGUGACUGUGGGGCUACACAUCCUCGCAGUCACUUGCCAAGGUUGUGGGCAAGGUCAUCCCAGAGCUGAACAGGAAGCUCAGUGGUAUUGCCUUCCUACACACAAUGUGUCCACCAUGGAUCUCACAUGCUGCUUGGAGAAAGUUUCCAAGUAUGAUGACAUCAAAAAGGUACUGCAGCAGGCAUCAGAGGGCCCACUAAAGGACUAGGUUGUCUCCUGUGACUUUACCCUUUACCCAGCUUUAAUGCUGGGCUGGCACUGGUCUCAAUGACAACUAUCGUUUUCUGAUAUGACAACGAAUAUGGCGAUAGCAACAUGGUGGUGAACCUCAUGGCCUACAUGAGUAAGAAAUAAGAAGCUUUGGACCACACAACCAGGAAGAACGUAAGAAGAAGAAAGGGUCUCUGAUGUUGGGGAGUCCCUGUCUCAGCUCAGCCCCCAACACUGAGCAUCUCCCCUCACAAUUUUCAUUCCAGAACCCCAGAAGAAGGGAACAGCUCAGAGAACCCUACUCUCUUGAAUACCACCAAUAAAGUUCACUGCACCCCUCCCCCCAAAAAAUUAUAAAUCAAAUGAAGAUCUUAAAAGGCUUUAUAAGCAGUACUGAAAAUCCUCCCCACAUUUUCCAAUGUCCUUAUGUCCUAGGCCUAGCUUACUUCAUUUCAUCCUUCGCAUAGCCUGUAAGCCGAACACAGAUGAGAUGAGUGUGCAACUGCUGGCUCAAACAACACUGACUGGGGUUUUAUUGUUCUGAGAUUAUAAUACAGUUACAACAUUUGUCUCUUCCCUUUCUUCCCUCCAAAUCCUUCCAUAUACCCCUCCUUGCUCUCUUUAAAUUCAAGUCUUUUUUCAUUGUUAUUGCAUGUGUGUGUGUGUGUGUGUGUGUGUGUGUGUGUGUGUGUGUGUGUGUAAACAUAUAUA